UAACGCGUGAGGAACCUGCCUCAAAGAGGGGGACAACAGUUGGAAACGACUGCUAAUACCGCAUAAGCCCACGACCCGGCAUCGGGUAGAGGGAAAAGGAGCAAUCCGCUUUGAGAUGGCCUCGCGUCCGAUUAGCUAGUUGGUGAGGUAAUGGCCCACCAAGGCGACGAUCGGUAGCCGGACUGAGAGGUUGAACGGCCACACUGGGACUGAGACACGGCCCAGACUCCUACGGGAGGCAGCAGUGGGGAAUAUUGCACAAUGGGGGAAACCCUGAUGCAGCGACGCCGCGUGGAGGAAGAAGGUCUUCGGAUUGUAAACUCCUGUUGUUGAGGAAGAUAAUGACGGUACUCAACAAGGAAGUGACGGCUAACUACGUGCCAGCAGCCGCGGUAAAACGUAGGUCACAAGCGUUGUCCGGAAUUACUGGGUGUAAAGGGAGCGCAGGCGGGAAGACAAGUUGGAAGUGAAAUCCAUGGGCUCAACCCAUGAACUGCUUUCAAAACUGUUUUUCUUGAGUAGUGCAGAGGUAGGCGGAAUUCCCGGUGUAGCGGUGGAAUGCGUAGAUAUCGGGAGGAACACCAGUGGCGAAGGCGGCCUACUGGGCACCAACUGACGCUGAGGCUCGAAAGUGUGGGUAGCAAACAGGAUUAGAUACCCUGGUAGUCCACACUGUAAACGAUGAUUACUAGGUGU
This 696-nucleotide ribosomal RNA is filed under the name uncultured bacterium. Its description in RNAcentral is "bacterial SSU rRNA". It matches the Rfam family "Bacterial small subunit ribosomal RNA", at positions 111 to 823 of the family's 1533-position model. The record is from RNAcentral.